Juglans regia (Persian walnut) is the source of this 837-nucleotide long non-coding RNA. RefSeq lists it as uncharacterized. The transcript is spliced from 2 exons. The record is from RefSeq and is a predicted model, not a curated record. NCBI's taxonomy places the organism in Eukaryota, Viridiplantae, Streptophyta, Magnoliopsida, Fagales, Juglandaceae.
GUCUGCCUUCCAAACCCACCUUAUAAAUGCUUACAUUGUGACGUCUAACCGUCCGUUACAAAUAAUAUUCAUACAAAAAUUCACUCUCAUGGCUUGUUUCUCCGGCCAAAACAGUCUUCCUCACUUUCUCCUGAUCCCGAUCCUGAUCCCGAUCCUGAUCCUGAUCCUCUUCUCUCCUACUCUAAAACGCUCUUAAGCUAGCUGGCCAGCUAGCUUGGUCUUUGUUUGUAUGCCUCUCAACCAGCUAGCUCUUCCUUUUCACUAAUUUAAUUCAGGUUAAUUAGCUAGCAGCGAUGGCCGUGAAGAUGGGGUUGGAGAGGUUGGUAGUGACUUUAAAAUCUAAAAUAAGGUCCAGCUUGAAGAUGAAGAAACCUUAUGAUAAAAUCGAAAAGAGCGAGAGCAUGAGAUUUGAGAUAAGAAGCAGGAAGGCUCGGAAGCUUAUUGAAAAGACCUUGAAAACCGCGGAUUCGCCAAAGACCAUGAUCAAGAUCACUAGUACUUCAGCGUAGCUGGUGUACGUUUCUGAUCAUCAUCCAAUGCUUGAAACAACAACUACAAGCAUAUAUGCUAGCUGGUUAAUUAAUUCAUACUUGUUUAUGUACGUUAGCCAUUGUGUGUGCAUGGUUUAAUAUACGAUCGAGAUGCUGAUCCGGAUUCCCCUCCGCCGGCGGCCUAGCUCUCUGAUCUCAUGUCUCUGAUCACUCUCCCUUCUUGCGAGUAAUUUACUAUUUAAAUAUAUAUGCGUAAACAUUAUGCAUAUAUGCAAGGCCUUGUACAACCAUAUAUAUAUAUAUUAGGUUUUUAAAAUGCUUUAAGAUUUUAUAGAUUUACCAAUCA